This 402-nucleotide ribosomal RNA is filed under the name uncultured bacterium. RNAcentral describes it as "bacterial SSU rRNA". It matches the Rfam family "Bacterial small subunit ribosomal RNA", at positions 60 to 461 of the family's 1533-position model. The record is from RNAcentral.
AGUCGAGCGGCGCGCGGUGCAGCAAUACACUGGCGGCGAGCGGCGGACGGGUGAGGAAUGCGUCGGAAUCUGCCUUUUUGUGGGGGAUAACGUAGGGAAACUUACGCUAAUACCGCAUACGACCUACGGGUGAAAGUGGGGGACCGCAAGGCCUCACGCAGAAAGAUGAGCCGACGCCGGAUUAGCUAGUUGGCGGGGUAAAGGCCCACCAAGGCGACGAUCCGUAGCUGGUCUGAGAGGAUGAUCAGCCACACUGGAACUGAGACACGGUCCAGACUCCUACGGGAGGCAGCAGUGGGGAAUAUUGGACAAUGGGCGCAAGCCUGAUCCAGCCAUGCCGCGUGUGUGAAGAAGGCCUUCGGGUUGUAAAGCACUUUUGACCGGAAAGAAAUCCUUUCUAUU